Molecule: ribosomal RNA, 253 nt
Filed under: uncultured bacterium
Lineage: Bacteria
Description: partial 16S ribosomal RNA
Rfam family: Bacterial small subunit ribosomal RNA
Source: RNAcentral
UACAGAGGGUGCGAGCGUUAAUCGGAAUUACUGGGCGUAAAGGGCGCGUAGGCGGCUAGAUAAGUGAGGUGUGAAAGGCUUGGGCUUAACCUGGGCACUGCACUUUAGACUGUGUAGCUAGAGUAUGGUAGAGGGAAGCGGAAUUUCCGGUGUAGCGGUGAAAUGCGUAGAUAUCGGAAAGAACAUCAGUGGCGAAGGCGGCUUUCUGGACUAAUACUGACGCUGAGGCGCGAAAGCAUGGGUAGCAAACAGG